RNAcentral lists this ribosomal RNA (450 nucleotides) under uncultured bacterium. RNAcentral's name for it is "bacterial SSU rRNA". It matches the Rfam family "Bacterial small subunit ribosomal RNA", at positions 328 to 792 of the family's 1533-position model. The record is from RNAcentral.
UUCCCAGACUCCUACGGGAGGCAGCAGUGGGGAAUAUUGGGCAAUGGGCGCAAGCCUGACCCAGCAACGCCGCGUGAAGGAAGAAGGCUUUCGGGUUGUAAACUUCUUUUAUCAGGGACGAAGCAAGUGACGGUACCUGAUGAAUAAGCCACGGCUAACUACGUGCCAGCAGCCGCGGUAAUACGUAGGUGGCAAGCGUUAUCCGGAUUUACUGGGUGUAAAGGGCGUGUAGGCGGGAGUGCAAGUCAGAUGUGAAAACUAUGGGCUCAACCCAUAGCCUGCAUUUGAAACUGUACUUCUUGAGUGCUGGAGAGGCAAUCGGAAUUCCGUGUGUAGCGGUGAAAUGCGUAGAUAUACGGAGGAACACCAGUGGCGAAGGCGACUUUCUGGACUGUACCUGACGCUGAGGCGCGAAAGCGUGGGUAGCGAACGGGAUUAGAUACCCCGGUA